GACGAAGGGGGCUAGCGUUGUUCGGAAUUACUGGGCGUAAAGCGCGUGUAGGCGGUUGGUCAAGUCGGGUGUGAAAGCCUUGAGCUCAACUCAAGAAAUGCACUCGAUACUGGAUGACUUGAGGACCGGAGAGGAUAGUGGAAUUCCCAGUGUAGUGGUGAAAUACGUAGAGAUUGGGAAGAACACCAGUGGCGAAGGCGGCUAUCUGGACGGUUUCUGACGCUAAGACGCGAAAGCGUGGGGAGCAAACAGG
Molecule: ribosomal RNA, 253 nt
Filed under: uncultured bacterium
Lineage: Bacteria
Description: partial 16S ribosomal RNA
Rfam family: Bacterial small subunit ribosomal RNA
Source: RNAcentral